UACGGAGGGGGCUAGCGUUGUUCGGAAUUACUGGGCGUAAAGCGCACGUAGGCGGCUUUGUAAGUUAGAGGUGAAAGCCCAGGGCUUAACCCUGGAAUUGCCUUUAAGACUGCAUCGCUAGAAUCGUGGAGAGGUGAGUGGAAUUCCGAGUGUAGAGGUGAAAUUCGUAGAUAUUCGGAGGAACACCAGUGGCGAAGGCGGCUCACUGGUCCAUUACUGACGCUGAGGUGCGAAAGCGUGGGGAGCAAACAGG
RNAcentral lists this ribosomal RNA (253 nucleotides) under uncultured bacterium. RNAcentral's name for it is "partial 16S ribosomal RNA". It matches the Rfam family "Bacterial small subunit ribosomal RNA", at positions 524 to 776 of the family's 1533-position model. The record is from RNAcentral.